RNAcentral lists this ribosomal RNA (253 nucleotides) under uncultured bacterium. RNAcentral's name for it is "partial 16S ribosomal RNA". It matches the Rfam family "Bacterial small subunit ribosomal RNA", at positions 524 to 776 of the family's 1533-position model. The record is from RNAcentral.
UACGUAGGGUGCAAGCGUUAAUCGGAAUUACUGGGCGUAAAGCGUGCGCAGGCGGUUUUGUAAGUCUGACGUGAAAUCCCCGGGCUCAACCUGGGAAUUGCGUUGGAGACUGCAAGGAUAGAAUCUGGCAGAGGGGGGUAGAAUUCCACGUGUAGCAGUGAAAUGCGUAGAGAUGUGGAGGAACACCGAUGGCGAAGGCAGCCCCCUGGGUCAAGAUUGACGCUCAUGCACGAAAGCGUGGGGAGCAAACAGG